AAUAUAUUGGCAGAAUAAAU
RNAcentral lists this transfer RNA (20 nucleotides) under Paratrochosina amica. RNAcentral describes it as "partial tRNA-Leu". Lineage: Eukaryota; Metazoa; Arthropoda; Arachnida; Araneae; Lycosidae. The record is from RNAcentral.